GUCAAUCCCCUCCGUAGCUCCACACUUAGAAUCUUCAAAAAUCAGGUACUGGAACCCUCGCAGUAUUAUUCUACGGAUCAACCAUACGGUCCGUAGAUAUAGACGCUGUGGUUCCACACUUGGUCAGAUUUCCCUGAUUUGUCCUCCAUGCCUUGCCUACUGAUCUACGGUCAUCACCUACGGACCGUAAAUGGACCUAAGGUCCGUAGAUCACCUCCGUGAAUGCCUUUCUUCUGCAUUUCUUUCAGCUGUCUCUACACUUCCGCGCCUGAACGUCUUUC
RNAcentral lists this long non-coding RNA (281 nucleotides) under Solanum tuberosum (potato). RNAcentral's name for it is "long non-coding RNA (STUB_LNC004649)". Lineage: Eukaryota; Viridiplantae; Streptophyta; Magnoliopsida; Solanales; Solanaceae. The record is from RNAcentral.